CUUAAAGGCGACGAUUCUGUACGGUCUGAGAGAAUGAUCGCACACUUGGGACUGACUGGCAGCCUACCGGAGCAAGCAGUGGGAAUAUUGACAAUGGAGGGAACCUGAUCAGCAUGCGCGUGUGUGAGAAGGCUAUGUGUAAGCACUUUAAGCGAGAGAGCUCCUGUAGUUAAACCUACAGUGAGUGGACGUUACUCGCAGGAUAAGCACCGGCUAACUCUGUGCAGCAGCGCGGUAAUACAGAGGGUGCGAGCGUUAAUCGGAUUUACUGGGCGUAAAGCGUGCGUAGGCGGCUUUUUAAGUCGGAUGUGAAAUCCCCGAGCUUAACUUGGGAAUUGCAUUCGAUACUGGGAAGCUAGAGUAUGGGAGAGGAUGGUAGAAUUCCAGGUGUAGCGGUGAAAUGCGUAGAGAUCUGGAGGAAUACCGAUGGCGAAGGCAGCCAUCUGGCCUAAUACUGACGCUGAGGUACGAAAGCAUGGGGAGCAAACAGGAUUAGAUACCCUGGUAGUCCAUGCCGUAAACGAUGUCUACUAGCCGUUGGGGCCUUUGAGGCUUUAGUGGCGCAGCUAACGCGAUAAGUAGACCGCCUGGGGAGUACGGUCGCAAGACUAAAACUCAAAUGAAUUGACGGGGGCCCGCACAAGCGGUGGAGCAUGUGGUUUAAUUCGAUGCAACGCGAAGAACCUUACCUGGUCUUGACAUAGCAAGAACUUUCCAGAGAUGGAUUGGUGCCUUCGGGAACAUUGAGACAGGUGCUGCAUGGCUGUCGUCAGCUCGUGUCGUGAGAUGUUGGGUUAAGUCCCGUAACGAGCGCAACCCUUGUCCUUAGUUACCAGCACGUUAUGGUGGGCACUCUAAGGAGACUGCCGGUGACAAACCGGAGGAAGGUGGGGUUGACGUCAAGUCAUCAUGGCCCUUACGGCCUGGGCUACACACGUGCUACAAUGGUCGGUACAGAGGGUUGCCAAGCCGCGAGGUGGAGCUAAUCCCAUAAAACCGAUCGUAGUCCGGAUCGUAGUCUGCAACUCGACUGCGUGAAGUCGGAAUCGCUAGUAAUCGCGAAUCAGAAUGUCGCGGUGAAUACGUUCCCGGGCCUUGUACACACCGCCCGUCACACCAUGGGAGUGGGUUGCACCAGAAGUAGCUAGUCUAACCUUCGGGAGGACGGUACCACGGGGAUGCAGACGAA
Molecule: ribosomal RNA, 1189 nt
Filed under: uncultured bacterium
Lineage: Bacteria
Description: bacterial SSU rRNA
Rfam family: Bacterial small subunit ribosomal RNA
Source: RNAcentral